UACGAAGGGGGCUAGCGUUGUUCGGAUUUACUGGGCGUAAAGCGCACGUAGGCGGAUUGUUAAGUCAGGGGUGAGAUCCCGGAGCUCAACUCCGGAACUGCCUUUGAUACUGAGAAGCUUGAGUCCGGGAGAGGUGAGUGGAACUGCGAGUGUAGAGGUGAAAUUCGUAGAUAUUCGCAAGAACACCAGUGGCGAAGGCGGCUCACUGGCCCGGUACUGACGCUGAGGUGCGAAAGCGUGGGGAGCAAACAGG
This 253-nucleotide ribosomal RNA is filed under the name uncultured bacterium. RNAcentral describes it as "partial 16S ribosomal RNA". It matches the Rfam family "Bacterial small subunit ribosomal RNA", at positions 524 to 776 of the family's 1533-position model. The record is from RNAcentral.